AAAUGAAUUGACGGGGGCCCGCACAAGCGGAGGAACAUGUGGUUUAAUUCGAUGAUACGCGAGGAACCUUACCUGGGCUUGAAAGGGGAACGACCUCCCGGGAAACCGGGAUUCUCUUCGGAGCGUUCUCCUAGGUGCUGCAUGGUUGUCGUCAGCUCGUGCCGUGAGGUGUCGGGUUAAGUCCCAUAACGAGCGCAACCCCUAUUGAUAGUUGCCAGCGGGUAAUGCCGGGAACUCUAUCGAAACUGCCGGUGUAAACCGUGAGGAAGGUGGGGAUGACGUCAAAUCAGCACGGCCCUUAUGUCCAGGGCUACACACGUGUUACAAUGGUCGGUACAAAGGGCAGCUAUGCCGCGAGGCAAUGCUAAUCUCGAAAACCGGUCUCAGUUCGGAUCGAAGUCUGCAACUCGACUUCGUGAAGCUGGAUUCGCUAGUAAUCGCGCAUCAGCAACGGCGCGGUGAAUACGUUCCCGGGCCUUGUACACACCGCCCGU
This 494-nucleotide ribosomal RNA is filed under the name uncultured bacterium. RNAcentral's name for it is "bacterial SSU rRNA". It matches the Rfam family "Bacterial small subunit ribosomal RNA", at positions 903 to 1397 of the family's 1533-position model. The record is from RNAcentral.